GAUGAACGCUGGCGGCGUGCCUAAUACAUGCAAGUCGAGCGAACGGACGAGAAGCUUGCUUCUCUGAUGUUAGCGGCGGACGGGUGAGUAACACGUGGAUAACCUACCUAUAAGUUUGGGAUAACUUCGGGAAACCGGAGCUAAUACCGGAUAAUAUUUUGAACCGCAUGGUUCAAAAGUGAAAGACGGUCUUGCUGUCACUUAUAGAUGGAUCCGCGCUGCAUUAGCUAGUUGGUAAGGUAACGGCUUACCAAGGCAACGAUGCAUAGCCGACCUGAGAGGGUGAUCAGCCACACUGGAACUGAGACACGGUCCAGACUCCUACGGGAGGCAGCAGUAGGGAAUCUUCGGCAAUGGGCGAAAGCCUGACGGAGCAACGCCGCGUGAGUGAUGAAGGUCUUCGGAUCGUAAAACUCUGUUAUUAGGGAAGAACAUAUGUGUAAGUAACUGUGCACAUCUUGACGGUACCUAAUCAGAAAGCCACGGCUAACUACGUG
RNAcentral lists this ribosomal RNA (497 nucleotides) under uncultured bacterium. RNAcentral's name for it is "partial 16S ribosomal RNA". It matches the Rfam family "Bacterial small subunit ribosomal RNA", at positions 28 to 507 of the family's 1533-position model. The record is from RNAcentral.